RNAcentral lists this ribosomal RNA (397 nucleotides) under uncultured bacterium. RNAcentral describes it as "partial 16S ribosomal RNA". It matches the Rfam family "Bacterial small subunit ribosomal RNA", at positions 338 to 732 of the family's 1533-position model. The record is from RNAcentral.
CCUACGGGUGGCAGCAGUGAGGAAUAUUGGUCAAUGGACGCAAGUCUGAACCAGCCAUGCCGCGUGCAGGAAGACGGCUCUAUGAGUUGUAAACUGCUUUUGUAUGAGGGUAAACCCCGUUACGCGUAUGUCUCUGAAUGUAUCGUACGAAUAAGGACCGGCUAAAUCCGUGCCAGCAGCCGCGGUAAUACGGAGGAUGCAAGCGUUAUCCGGAUUUAUUGGGUUUAAAGGGUGCGUAGGCGGUCGGAUAAGUUAGAGGUGAAAUCCCGAGGCUCAACUUCGGGAUUGCCUCGGAUACGGUCGGGCUAGAGAGUAGUUGCGGUAGGCGGAAUGUAUGGUGUAGCGGUGAAAUGCUUAGAGAUGAUACAGAACACCGAUUGCGAAGGCAGCUUGCCGA